AGCUUCCGGGAUUCCAAAAAUGUAAAGAACAUUAAAAACGGGGCUUGGAAUCACUUACUAUGGAGCUUGAAAGUUGAAGAAACCCUAGCUAUGGAGAGAGGGAGAAUUCGGCAGCAACUAAGGAGGAUGAUGAUCAAUUUUGUGUUAUUUUUCCCAUUUUAUUUCAUUUAAUAUCCAAAUGACCAAAAUGCCCCUCCUUACUAAACUUUCAAAAUUCCUUCCAUGUCCUAAUUUUGUCCAUGAACUUAAAAUUGGUCA
This 258-nucleotide long non-coding RNA is filed under the name Gossypium barbadense (sea-island cotton). RNAcentral's name for it is "long non-coding RNA (GBAR_LNC001681)". The record is from RNAcentral. Lineage: Eukaryota; Viridiplantae; Streptophyta; Magnoliopsida; Malvales; Malvaceae.